ACGGGAGGCAGCAGUGGGGAAUAUUGCACAAUGGGGGAAACCCUGAUGCAGCGACGCCGCGUGAGUGAAGAAGUAUUUCGGUAUGUAAAGCUCUAUCAGCAGGAAAGAAAAUGACGGUACCUGACUAAGAAGCCCCGGCUAACUACGUGCCAGCAGCCGCGGUAAUACGUAGGGGGCAAGCGUUAUCCGGAUUUACUGGGUGUAAAGGGAGCGUAGACGGUAAGGCAAGUCUGAAGUGAAAUGCCAGGGCUCAACCCUGGAACUGCUUUGGAAACUGUCCUACUAGAGUGCAGGAGAGGUAAGUGGAAUUCCUAGUGUAGCGGUGAAAUGCGUAGAUAUUAGGAGGAACAUCAGUGGCGAAGGCGGCUUACUGGGCUUUAACUGACGCUGAGGCUCGAAAGCGUGGGGAGCAAACAGGAUUAGAUACCCUGGUA
Molecule: ribosomal RNA, 434 nt
Filed under: uncultured Clostridium sp.
Lineage: Bacteria; Bacillati; Bacillota; Clostridia; Eubacteriales; Clostridiaceae
Description: partial 16S ribosomal RNA
Rfam family: Bacterial small subunit ribosomal RNA
Source: RNAcentral